UACAAAAAUACUACAUUUGAAAAAGGAUUCUUGAAAGUGCAGUACCUUUGUGUGACCACAAGAUGUAGGUGUCACAUAACCUAUGAACCUACCCUAUGUUAAAAUCAUACACACUUGUAAAGACUGUUGUACGGUCACAUUGGAUUUGAAAGCAACAUCCUUUCUUCCAUACAUCCACGCUACCUGAAAGACGACAGCUUCCUGAAUCCAACGAUACCAGAUAUGUGCACAUCGGACCUCCGCUUCAAAAGAUACGGCCAGAUACUACAAAAAUACUACAUUUGAAAAAGGAUUCUUGAAAGUGCAGUACCUUUGUGUGACCACAAGAUGUAGGUGUCACAUAACCUAUGAACCUACCCUAUGUUAAAAUCAUACACACUUGUAAAGACUGUUGUACGGUCACAUUGGAUUUGAAAGCAACAUCCUUUCUUCCAUACAUCCACGCUACCUGAAAGACGACAGCUUCCUGAAUCCAACGAUACCAGAUAUGUGCACAUCGGACCUCCGCUUCAAAAGAUACGGCCAGACUGUUGUACGGUCACAUUGGAUUUGAAAGCAACAUCCUUUCUUCCAUACAUCCACGCUACCUGAAAGACGACAGCUUCCUGAAUCCAACGAUACCAGAUAUGUGCACAUCGGACCUCCGCUUCAAAAGAUACGGCCAGGUAAGCUUUGGCCAAUCAGAUCGCAUAUGCUAAUGAGGGUGGAAUUAAUGAGGGUGAAACUCGUUUUUAUCUAUAUACCUAGUUGCAAUUAACCCCAGACUAGCCCCUAACCCUAAC
Long non-coding RNA from Cyprinus carpio carpio, 782 nucleotides. The record is from Ensembl. Lineage: Eukaryota; Metazoa; Chordata; Actinopteri; Cypriniformes; Cyprinidae.